Molecule: long non-coding RNA, 360 nt
Filed under: Mytilus galloprovincialis (Mediterranean mussel)
Lineage: Eukaryota; Metazoa; Mollusca; Bivalvia; Mytilida; Mytilidae
Source: RNAcentral
CAUGUUAUGGCAACUUUAACUAGUGGUAUGAUGUAAUUCAAUAGCGUUUCAUUAUUAUGGUCCCCAUUGGUUGCUACAGUAAGAAAAACAAAAAAGGCAUAUACAUACUCAUACCCCAUAUUCUCAUAUCAAAGUACAUAAUAAUAAAUGAAAGACAAGAAUACAAAAAUUUCAGUAUGAAUAUUGUUUUCUGUGUCAAUGGCAAAGCUAAUAUUUCCAUCGAACAAUGUAUUUCAAUUUUGGAAAAUUGGAACAUGGAGAAAAAAUAUCUAGUAUAGGGUGAGUAUUGAAACCCUUUUUUUUCUCCAAAUGUUUAACAGUAGACAGGCUAAUUUAAAUGGCUUUUUAAUUAUACCAAAA